UACAGAGGUCCCAAGCGUUGUUCGGAUUCACUGGGCGUAAAGGGUGCGCAGGUGGGUUGGCAAGUUUGAUGUGAAAGCCCCGGGCUUAACCCGGGAAUGGCAUUGAAUACUGCUGAUCUGGAGGAUCGGAGGGGGGACUGGAAUUCUUGGUGUAGCAGUGAAAUGCGUAGAUAUCAAGAGGAACACCAGUGGCGAAGGCGAGUCCCUGGACGAUACCUGACACUGAGGCACGAAAGCUAGGGGAGCAAACAGG
This 253-nucleotide ribosomal RNA is filed under the name uncultured bacterium. RNAcentral's name for it is "partial 16S ribosomal RNA". It matches the Rfam family "Bacterial small subunit ribosomal RNA", at positions 524 to 776 of the family's 1533-position model. The record is from RNAcentral.